This 450-nucleotide ribosomal RNA is filed under the name uncultured bacterium. RNAcentral describes it as "partial 16S ribosomal RNA". It matches the Rfam family "Bacterial small subunit ribosomal RNA", at positions 354 to 796 of the family's 1533-position model. The record is from RNAcentral.
GUGGGGAAUAUUGGACAAUGGGCGAAAGCCUGAUCCAGCCAUGCCGCGUGUGUGAAGAAGGUCUUCGGAUUGUAAAGCACUUUAAGUUGGGAGGAAGGGCAGUAAGUUAAUACCUUGCUGUUUUGACGUUACCGACAGAAUAAGCACCGGCUAACUUCGUGCCAGCAGCCGCGGUAAUACGAAGGGUGCAAGCGUUAAUCGGAAUUACUGGGCGUAAAGCGCGCGUAGGUGGUUUUGUAAGUUGGAGGUGAAAUCCCCGGGCUCAACCUGGGAACUGCCUCCAAAACUGCAUGACUAGAGUACGGUAGAGGGUAGUGGAAUUUCCUGUGUAGCGGUGAAAUGCGUAGAUAUAGGAAGGAACACCAGUGGCGAUGGCGACUACCUGGACUGAUACUGACACUGAGGUGCGAAAGCGUGGGGAGCAAACAGGAUUAGAAACCCGGGUAGUCC